GAUUGGUCUGAGUGCAGUGGUGUUUAUAACUAAUUGAUCACAACCAGUUACAGAUUCCUUUGUUCCUUCUCCACUCCCAUUGCUCCACUUGACCAGCCUUUA
Microcebus murinus (gray mouse lemur) is the source of this 102-nucleotide unclassified non-coding RNA. It matches the Rfam family "Y RNA". Rfam says of the family: Y RNAs are components of the Ro ribonucleoprotein particle (Ro RNP), in association with Ro60 and La proteins. The Y RNAs and Ro60 and La proteins are well conserved, but the function of the Ro RNP is not known. Lineage: Eukaryota; Metazoa; Chordata; Mammalia; Primates; Cheirogaleidae. The record is from Ensembl.